UCCAAUUGCUUACUUUAGUGAAAAAUUGAGUGGAGCAGCCCUAAACUAUCCUACCUAACUGUUUUAAUGCAAGAAGGGCGUCCAAUUGCUUACUUUAGUGAGAAAUUGAGUGGAGCAGCCCUAAACUAUCCUACCUAUGACAAGGAGAUGUAUGCAUUGGUGAGAGCUUUGGAAACUUGGCAACAUUAUCUUCUACCUAAAGAGUUUGUUAUACACACUGAUCAUGAGUCCUUGAAGCAUUUGAAAGGGCAAGGUAAGUUACAUAAGAGACAUGCCAAAUGGGUUGAAUUUAUUGAGCCAUUUCCUUAUGUGAUCAAAUAUAAACAAGGUAAGGAGAAUGUGGUGGCUGAUGCAUUAUCUAGAAGGUAUGCACUUAUCUCUACAUU
Molecule: long non-coding RNA, 386 nt
Filed under: Citrus sinensis (sweet orange)
Lineage: Eukaryota; Viridiplantae; Streptophyta; Magnoliopsida; Sapindales; Rutaceae
Description: long non-coding RNA (CSIN_LNC004074)
Source: RNAcentral